UUCUUGACUCUGUCAAGUCUUUCCAAUUUUUCUUUUCCAAGAUGAUAUAAUAAUCAAAGUUGCAACAUGUAAAUUGUAGUUUUGUGUGGAAAAAAUUUCCUAAAAAAUAAUUGCCAUGGAAAUUUCAUGAGUUCUUCCCUCUUGUUUUAUAUUUCUUUUAACAAUGCAUUUGAAAUUUUCACCCUAUAAUAUGAUUUAAUUGUAUAUGUCAAUUGUCAAGCUUUGAAAAUUUUGCUACUUUUUACAAUCACAACACACAUGGAUUGCCCUAUAAAUAGUAGCCUAAAAUGGAGAUUAUGCUGCACUCAUCCUAUAAAUUUUAUCUAAUAUAUAUUGUCCAAAAUGAAAGCAAUAUUUCUCAUAUUAUGCAUUCUCUUGGCUUCCAUUCUUGCGUUUCCCACUUCCACAAUGGCUCGAGAACUGGCUGAGAAGGAGGCAAUCCCAUCUCCAACUCAAUGUGCGCUAGAUCCUACUCGGAGCUGUACUCCGAAGACUCCUCCUAACUGCCCAAUUUACAGUCGAAACUGCCAUUAAUAUUAUGUUCUGGAAUAUUAUGUUUAAUAAAUUUGCCAACUUUUGUGUUUUAUUGGCAAAGGAAAUUAGAAUCUAAAGUUUCAUGCAUGGUUUGUGUUUGAUUGAUGUGAUUGUGAUGUUAUUUCUACUGCUUGAGAUAACAAAAUAAUAAAGAAAAGAUUGCAUUUCUCAUA
Long non-coding RNA from Gossypium raimondii (Peruvian cotton), 707 nucleotides. RefSeq lists it as uncharacterized. The record is from RefSeq and is a predicted model, not a curated record. Lineage: Eukaryota; Viridiplantae; Streptophyta; Magnoliopsida; Malvales; Malvaceae. The transcript is spliced from 2 exons.